This 372-nucleotide ribosomal RNA is filed under the name uncultured organism. RNAcentral describes it as "bacterial SSU rRNA". It matches the Rfam family "Bacterial small subunit ribosomal RNA", at positions 526 to 896 of the family's 1533-position model. The record is from RNAcentral.
CGUAGGGUGCGAGCGUUAAUCGGAAUUACUGGGCGUAAAGCGUGCGCAGGCGGUUUGUCAAGAUAGGCGUGAGAUCCCCGGGCUCAACCUGGGAACUGCGCUUAUGACUGGCAAGCUAGAGUACGGCAGAGGGGGGUGGAAUUCCACGUGUAGCAGUGAAAUGCGUAGAGAUGUGGAGGAACACCAAUGGCGAAGGCAGCCCCCUGGGUCGAUACUGACGCUCAUGCACGAAAGCGUGGGUAGCAAACAGGAUUAGAUACCCUGGUAGUCCACGCCCUAAACGAUGUCAACUAGGUGUUGGGAGGGUAAAACCUUUUAGUACCGGAGCUAACGCGUGAAGUUGACCGCCUGGGGAGUACGGCCGCAAGGUUA